This 45-nucleotide non-coding RNA is filed under the name Schistosoma mansoni. The record is from RNAcentral. Lineage: Eukaryota; Metazoa; Platyhelminthes; Trematoda; Strigeidida; Schistosomatidae.
AUCCAGCCAACGAGUCCCCAAUAGGACGAAACGCGUGUUCUGGAU